This 253-nucleotide ribosomal RNA is filed under the name uncultured bacterium. RNAcentral describes it as "partial 16S ribosomal RNA". It matches the Rfam family "Bacterial small subunit ribosomal RNA", at positions 524 to 776 of the family's 1533-position model. The record is from RNAcentral.
UACGUAGGGGGCAAGCGUUGUCCGGAAUCAUUGGGCGUAAAGAGCGUGUAGGCGGCCCGGUAAGUCCGCUGUGAAAGCCCAGGGCUCAACCCUGGGAUGCCGGUGGAUACUGUCGGGCUCGAGUCCGGAAGAGGAGUGUGGAAUUCCUGGUGUAGCGGUGAAAUGCGCAGAUAUCAGGAGGAACACCAAUGGCGAAGGCAGCACUCUGGGACGUGACUGACGCUGAGACGCGAAAGCGUGGGGAGCAAACAGG